Pocillopora verrucosa is the source of this 10949-nucleotide long non-coding RNA. RefSeq lists it as uncharacterized. NCBI's taxonomy places the organism in Eukaryota, Metazoa, Cnidaria, Anthozoa, Scleractinia, Pocilloporidae. The record is from RefSeq and is a predicted model, not a curated record.
UCACAGGUUGAACAUUAUUGUUCUACAGCAGAUGUUCCGUCAUUAACAUCUCUUGCCUAGAGUACAUCUAAAGCUUCUGAGAGAAGCCUUGUGCAACAUGCUGUCAAGUGACGAUUGAGGAAAGGGAGAAAUCAAUGGUGUGCACGGAGACAGCUGAAGUCACUGUUCAGCUGCAUACCUUCUGAAAAUGCACUGGGGGACAAGUUUAAAGGCAAACGUCAAGGCUUGUUAUGUAGUGAUAUUACGUGCAGUUAGUUAGAGCUAAUAAUUUGAAGAGGGUAAGCUAGAAAUGAGGAUUUUAAAAAAUCAAUAAAUUGAGGGGUGAAGGUAAUAUGCUUAGCCCAUGUAGCUAAAAAUAACAUUGACUUCCAUUCAUUUGACACUGCUGCAUACAGGUUCUUGCUGUUAUAUUUUAAUAGUAGUUAUUGUUAGGGUUUGCAACAGUUGUUCCUUUGAUUUGAUCUUAAGUGGUGCCAAGAAACUGGCAAGCAAGUCCAAUUGGAGCUAUCAGACCUUGCAAAGGAAAAAGCAAGAAUGUUAAGUACAUCUAUACAGAUAAAAACCUCAUUUACUUUAAGUCGUGGUUAAAGGAAGCAUUGUCAUGUCCCUCCUUAUUCAUGGUACAACUAUGCUAGUCUUGGAAAUGGGUUAUGGAACUUGCGUGGAUGGUAGAUAGUUUGACACCUAAAGAGUACUUUUGAACUAGUGGAGUGGAAAGCUCAGAGCCAGUAUUAGUAGUUAUCUUGUUGCUCUCCAAAAGAAUGGACAGACAUCCCACUUCCUUGUUUCAUCACUAUGAAGUGUCUUGAAUCCGAGAUCAGUGUGUGUGUGUAGAUGGAUGUUGUGUUGCAGAGUGUUUUGCAGGCAUUUCAAUUCGUAGUUCAGCAACUGGAAUCAGAACAUCAGGUAUUUCUGUUAUCCAAUCGUCUUUUGUCCACUCAUAAGAUAUUCACAGUAGAUCAAAAGAAGUAUGCGUUUUUUGUAAUUGCAGUAGUGUUUUGGGCAGGGUGUUGUUUGUUUCUCUAUUAUUAUGCAGUCAAGUAGACUUGGCAAUACAAGCCAGAGAGAAUGAUCCCAGAGGGUCAUCAGCAAUUGGUAGAUCAUUGGCAUUUCAGUGGAAGCUGGAUUCAAGCAAUGUAAGCUGACAAAAAUGAAUUUAUCACAAUUCCUGCAUUAGAUUAGUAUCAGCAAUGUGCCUGGUUUGCUACUUCAGCACCAAAACUGCACCUAUCAUGGACAGAUUUAACACAUCCCUGGGUGUUAUGUAUGGUGAUCAGUGCAAAUAAAGUUUACCAAGGAUUGUAUUUGCCAUUCAGCCUUAAACAAAAGUUGAGCAUCUCUUCCUCUCUUCAUGGUUUGGCAUCUAGUCAUUUGAUAUUGUUCUUCUCCUCUUCACUACCCUUAAAGCCAGCCUAGCAUUGUAUAAAAGCGUUGCCAAUGCAUUUCGACAGAGAGAGACAUUAAUUUGCUACCCUAGACAAAACAAACAUGAUACAUAUGACCUGACUGGACACUGAUUCAGCCUAAAGAAAGAUGCAAAAUGAAGUAGCAACAUGAGAGAAAGUAAAAGCUGCCCAUUUAGUCUAGCCCCUGAGGAUCUUGAAACCAUCUUCCCCUAUGAUUCAGCCUAAACAAAGAUGCAAAAUGAAGUAGCAACAUGAGAGAAAGUAAAAGCUGCCCAUUUAGUCUAGCCCCUGAGGAUCGUGAAACCAUCUUCCCCUAUGAUUCAGCCUAAACAAAGAUGCAAAAUGAAGUAGCAACAUGAGAGAAAGUAAAAGCUGCCCGGUUAGUCUAGUCCCUGAGGAUCUUGAAACCAUCUACCCCAGUGAUAGGACAUUAUGUGAAGAGCUGAAAUGCUAGUAGUAGUCCAGAAUUAGCUUUGCCAUCAGUGUAGAAAAGCUUUCACAGCUCCCAUUUGAUGGAAAUAGCAAGCAGUUUUCCCAGUUUGAAUGCAGAUACUCUUUGGCAAGUCUCAUAGUAGAGGUCAGGAUGUUUGAAUUGCCCAAAGAAUGCAUGCUUUGAAGCUUUUUCAGCUAUUCAGCAAGGAAGCAGCACCAAAAUGAUGAAAUCAAACUGAAAUCGCACCGAAAUCAUUACUUGUGGAGUAAGCAUAUUCAUUGUUAGCAGUUCUUGUGGUGCUCUUGGCUCAAUAUACAUGGUGAAGGUAACAAAAUUUUUAUUCAGAUGAACUUCCUUUAGCAAGGAAAGCUAAUCUCACUAGCAGAUAUUGGUUGUGUGACUUUUGCCCUCCUUGUAAGAGAAUGCAACUAGCAAUGCAGAAGAGCUGCUGAUAAGGAAGACACACCUUGAUUUCCAUAAGUGCAAUUUUCAGCCCUCCCCCAUCAUAAUGUGGGAUCAAUGGGACUUUUUCGUCGUUAAAAUCACAUUCAACCAUCAGUAGUGGCAAGUAGUAGUUUACAGUUGUACUUUCAAGUUGCAAGCAUCUUUUUUGUGGUUAAAAAUUUUCAAGCUUCUUUAACAGCCACUAUUGUGAUCUUUCCAGUUGUGUUGGAUUCAUCCUCGAUUAAAAAAAGGGACUUAAAUCUGUGAACUUCAUAGGAUCUGAAGAAUCACUUAAAGACAAUUUCCACCCAGCUAGGAUUUCUUUUCAUUCACUUAGUCACUUCAUCGCACAAGGCAAGCUUUUGAGAGUGCUAUGUUGGAAUUUUGAAUUUGUUUUCUACAGUGUGCGUGUGUGUGUAGCUUUCUCAUCAGAGUCAAAUGUAAGCAGAUGGACCAAGCAGCAGUUGGCUAUCCUUUGACUGUCCGCAUGUUAGGUUGUUAAACCAAGCAAAAAUGAAAGAAGGACUGAUUAUUCUGCAAAGAACACCAGUAAUUAUAUCUAUCCUUGGAAAUCCAUUUUGCCCAAAGUCCCACUUCCCAAGUAGCGAGAGUACAGCAGCGGGUAUUGAAUUUCAGACCAUCCUCUGAUCCUUAGCACACCAGGCCAUAGUUGGUUACUUUCUCCACUUCCUAGAAGUUAUCAUCAAAGAAAAUACCAAGGUCAACAAUAUGUUUCCACUUGCAUUAAGCCACAAGGUAGAGCUUUAGAGGAUAUUGGUUUUCAAAUAUACAUAGCUUUGUUAGCAGAAUUGGCUUCCAACUCAAGAAAUUUGGCAAGAGUUUUGUCGUGAUUGCAAAUUGACCCAAGAAAAUUGAUUUGGCCUUUCACCCAUGAGUGGCUUCCUCUUCCCCAGCAUACUUUGGAUGGAUGUGUGUAGUUACUGAAGCUAGCUGGCAAUUUGUACUUUCCUCAGCCCUUGGCACCUACUGAAAUACUAGGUGGAUGCCUUUGAAAGUAGCUCUCUGAUUCACAGACAAGGGAAGCAGCAAGUAACCAAUAGAAAAUAGGAGAAGAAAUUUCUCGGGAAGUCAGAUUGGCUGGAGCAAGCAUAAUAUUCAAAGUAACCUGCAGGAUUGAUUAUAUUCUAAGAAAUAAGUAUUCUUUUGUCAAGGUGAUAACCCAACUGAUUUCACAGGUAAUAGCUUUUUUGAAUGUGUUUUCCUUGUUUUCUGCUUGCUUGAUGUGUUUUGUUUUUUUGUUUCUGAGAAAGUUGAGAUGAUAGAGCUUAGGUGUCAACUUGAAACGCAGCAAAACCCUACUGGUGUCUUCAAAGCAAUGUCAAAAAGUUAAUGUUUCUGACCCAUUGGUGAUAGAGAUGACAACGCAGCUGUGGUGCAUAAUUCUAAAAGUUUAAAGCCCACCCUAAAAGUCACCUUAAGUUUCUCCUGUGUGAUUGGGAACCUGAUGUCUUGAGUCCAUGCAAUUAGAUGAGAGAGAGAGGGGAUUAGUUGUGCUGUAUCUGUGAAGAUGAGGAAUCUAAGGAAUGGCCUGUUUGCAAAUUGAGUAACUGGAUUUCUCUGGCAAGUAGUUUUGGAUCAAUUUUUCAUACUAUUUUUCUUGUGUGAUAAGCAAAUGAUUGCAUUCCCUGAGACAGUUUUUUCCAGGACGGUGAAAUCAGUGAAACAAGAGCCUGUAUGUCACUAGUGACUCUGAGUAAGGCCUUCAUUUGAGCCCAGCAUUGCAGUGGCACUUGUUUAAGUUCUUGGAGAAGUGACUGUAAUCAACUGAUGACCUCUGCACGGCAGCAAGAACUAGAUGCAGGCACAAGUUUUAAAGUCCCUCAGCUUUGCUCUGUAGCAUGCUACUUAAAGUUUUCAGAUAGUGAGAAUUCAUCUGAUGGAAGAAGCUAAAUCUUUGGAUUACUAUGAGAGUCAGAAAGUAGUGUGUAACAUGGGUAUUACUCAUAAUUUCAAAGUAUGUCAAGGAUGUUAUUAAGAUAGUGAACAUUUUCUUGAGCUUUUGAGUCUUUUUUUUUUCUCUUGCUUGUUCUGAAUUCGGUUUUCAGCAGUUUUGUGGAGGAAUCUGUCAGCAAUGACCAGUGGUGAUUUUCUGCCAUAGUGGUGGUCUUAAAUUUCAAUUGGCAACUUCAUGAGGCGGCAUUCCAGCUUUUAGCAAGGUGCAAGUUCCACUAUUACUUUUAGAUGUUGAAUCGGCAGGCAAACCCAACCAAUUUGGACAUUUUACCAUUCAUGUGGCUUUCAGAAAAAGGCUUGCGGCAUAUCAGUAGGACUGGUCUGUAUGGGUCUGGCCUCAGGUAGCUGAAUUUAACUGAGAUAAUCCUGCAGAAAAAAAGAGGACAGAAGUACACGUACAAUGACUGUUGGUGGAGCUUCCUCAGAAGUGGUAAUGUUAGGCAACCAAAUUCAUUCUUCCAUUGUUUUAAAGAAAGAAUCAGAAACACUUUGCACCAUUUCAAUUGAUAUGAGCAGUCCUAAUUAUCUGGUAAGGAAAUAUUUCAAACAAGUUUAUGCAUGGACUCAGUUAUUUUGGGUAUAUUUUUUGGAUCUUUUUCAAGUGUCUUUCAGAAUGUAUACAGUCUGUGUACAGUAGCAGUUUCUUGGAAAAGCAUUUUUCUCAAUUUUGAACAAGACUUCUUAGCAUCCAGCAGCUUUCCCUGGUCCUUGUUAAAAACCUUAAAUGUGCAUCAAGCAUGAAGGAAGGCCCUGCUAACCCAAAGGUGUGAACUUAAUGGGUAUUAAACGUUCUCCGCCUUACAAUGGGUGCAGUUUGUGUGGAAACUUUUUGCCAGGUUUUCAGCCCCAGCGUGUGGUUCACAAUUCACUCUAUUGGUGGAAUUAGUGCAUUAGGACAAGGGCAAUUUUCAGAGUAAUCCUAGGGUCAGGAGGCGCAUUUUCAGGGUCAAAUGUAAGUGCGUGCUGUAAUUCUUCUCAAGUGAGUUUUGUCCUAUUGGCUACCUUGUCAGUUUUUUUUGUGAGUUGUGUGUGCAUGGUUUUAAAUGAAUUUGUUAGGAAUGUGUAUGCAGAGUUAGCAACAAUGGUUUUUUAGGACUGUAUUGUACCCAAUUCAAGUCCAAAAUGGAAUUGUCAGACCAUAAAGUGGUUUUUCAGAAUUUGGCAAGCACCUCGGAGGCAAAUUCAGUGGUACACAAAAGACUGUAUUGUACUCAAUUCAAGUCCAAAAUGGAAUUGUCAGACCACCAAGAAAUUUUUCAGAAUUUGGCAAGCACCUCAGAGGCAAAUUCAGUGGUACACAAAAGAAGUGAAUAUACCACAUCCCGGAGAACUUAAACCUUCUUCAGAAAUGCUGAGUAAAGUUAACCACUCUGAAGUCCUUCAUCAAUUUGGACCAAAACAACGCUUUUACUUGUUUGAUAUUAAUAUUCACAAUAGUGCAGACCAUCUGGUAAGGGAAACCUUCAAAUCAACCAUGUAUGAGCAUGUAUUUCCUGUGGAUUUCGUUUCUUUAAGGAGUCUUUUUUCAGGGGAUAAGCCUAGUUAUUUCAGCAGCACUUUACCAAACCAACUGAAAUUAUGGAGCAGCUAUAGCUUUGUGCCAGCUUUGAAAAUUAUCCAAGUCCUUUUGUGCCAAGGUAGCAUCACUGUGGUAAUAUCCAGUCCAGUUAAGUGGUUAAAAGUUAACCUCCUAGAUCCUCGAAAGAGUUUUGCCAUACCUGUCCAAGUUAAGGGCCAUGUGCUGUCACUCAAGUGUAGCUGAACAUGCUGUGUCUUAGAGAACCACAUCCCUCUUGUGUAUUUAUGUGCCAGUGCAUUGUCUAUACCAGUUUCAGGACUGCGCAAUGUACCGUGUAUUUUGUUGCAACAAAUUUAUCAGAACUUGUCACUCUGGGGUAAAACAACCAGCAUAUUGGGUGCAUUUUCGACCUGUUCCUAAAGAGCAAAUUCAUCUACACACAUCUUGUAUUCCAUGUGUUGUGCCACCUGCCUUUUAGAUGUCAAGUGUGUAUUGCUUCAUGGAAAGUGUCUGUCUGUUCAACAAAAAACAGCCCACUCAACAACAAACUUUUAAGAUGAACAUUUCAAAAAAUCUGGUUAUGUUACUCCUUCAAAGUCUGUGAUUGUCUCACUCCCAUGGGCAGUCCCAAGUCCCAGUCACUGAUUCUCUAAGUAGGCUGAUCAGAAAUUUACCAGUACAUUCAUGGAGGUGCAAUUCACAUCUGAAUCCUUACUUGGUGGUUAAAGAUUCUUGUAGAAGGUUAAAUUAAAGGUUGGUUUUAUGUUUUGGUUAAUUUGUAGUAUUUGUAAUUAGACAAUUCAUAUUUCUCAAUUAAGUUAUCCAGGGAUGAGGUAAUAUAAAGACCGUACUGUCUCUCAAGAAUUGUUCUUAUGCUCUUGACUAAGUGACUUAAUUAAUGAGAUAUAGAGUUAAGUUUAACCUAGUAGUAUCAUCAAAACCAGUACAUACUUUGUCAGACCUUACAGAUAUUGAGUAUCACCAAGUAAUGGAAGUUUUUUGGCUUCGGCAAGUAUUUGUUUUGGAAUGUUGCCUUUUUUGUUGUUAAUAUGAAAAGUAUGCUUUGUUUGUCUGUAAUUGCGUGUUUUUCUUGUCAUGAGAAUCAGUGGAAGGGUUUACUGUGAAAUACCAUCUACUAAGAUUUAUUUCCCUUAGAAAUGCAUCAUUAACUAUUGUUAACAUAUUAGCUCCACACCUAUUUAUGCUUGUGUAUAAAGUCGAAACUGUGAAGAGCUUUGUCUGUGAUUGGGGGGAUAUUUUUGUUCUCUUUUGAUUGUUACCAGGCAAAUUUGCAUUUUUUGGAUGGAAUGUCAAGAAUAUGAAAAAGGCAAGCUUAACUUUCUGAUCCUUAGUUUCAUUAUAGAUUACUCUUUUUUUCAUUUUGUAAUCUAACAUGCAUUUUGAUAGUGGUAGUUUGUAAUUAACCUAUUCCACACAUGUUUUUUUUUUUUAAUUUAUUUAUUUACUGUAACUGAAAAUCUUAGUUAGGUUGCAAUACUUCAUUAUGUAAUCUAGGAUUUAUUAUGGGCAAACAGUGCAUAUUUUUGUCAACCUCUAUAGCUAUUAAGGUUGCUUAUGUGAUAGAUGAAGCUCAGUUUCACUCAUUUGGUCUGUGAGCAAAAGCAGCUGGGAAUACUUUUUACAGGAUAACAAUCAAGGCUUAAUCAAAAAUUUCUGCUCUGAACUGCAAGUUGUCAUCAUGCAGCAAUCAUUUGGUUGAUGCAGGUAUUGAUUUGAACUGUUGCCUUUUGAAUUGUUAGGUCUUUGAAAUAUUUUGCAUACUCUGAUUAAUUCACAGCGCUUGUUUUUUCUGGAUCAACAAUUGUUGCCAGGUCAUCUUUGCCCAAAAUGGUUAUGGCCUUGACUUGCUGUUUGCUGUCGGUCAGUUCAGUAGUUUGUCUUGUUCAAAAUUUUUAUGCAGAAAUCUGUGCAUAUAUCCUCUCUACACAGUGUUGUAAUCUUGUUGGAAAUGAAGGGCUUUCAAAUGCAUCCUCUUCAUCCAGUUGAUACAGGUAUUGAUGUGACCAUUUGGCAUCUGCUUUAAUUUUUUCUCUGAGAUGCAUUACAUACUUUGAUCAAUUCAUAGUGAUUUCUGUUGGAAUAUACUAGAAUUCAACUUAAUUUUGAAGUUUUCUUGGCAUCGACUUUCAAGGCUGAGUUGGUCAGUGAUUGAAGUUCAAAAUUGUCGCCCAGAAUCAUUUCAUUUCAUCUCUUCAAGCAGAUUUGUAUUUUCACUGGGUGUUGUCACCCUUCCAAGUGCUGCCUCGUCAUUUAGUUUACACAGGUAUUCGCUUGACCUUUUGCCACCUGGAGCAUUUUUUCUUUGAAAUAUAUUGCAUACUCUGAUCUUUUUACAGCAUUUUUUAUUGAAUGUGCUACUGUUGACAGCUCAACUUGGCCUAAGAUUUUAUGGCCUUCGCUUUCCGGCAUGCAUAGGUCAGUUCCAUGAUGUGGCAGUUGAAAUCGAUGUGUAGAAAUCUGUGUACAUGUCCUCUAUAUACAGCUUCGUUAAUCGAUUGGAUGCAUAUGUCCUUCAAAUGCGAUCUUGUCAUUGUGUUGAUUCAGGUAUUCACUUAACGUUUUGCCUUCUGAACUGUUUUUCUUCGAAAUGUAUGACAUACUCUGGUCAAUUCACAGCAAUUUCUGUUUGAAUGUGGAACGGUGGACAGCCCAACUUGGUCUUGGAACAUAAUGGCCGUGACUUCUUUUGUCCAUGAACGUUAGUUUUACGAUUUGUCUAGUUUCAAACUGUUAUGCAGAAAUCCGUGCAUUAUAUCCUCUUUACACAGCUUUGAACAUCUCCUCUAAGCUAGUUGGAAUUUGUGAGCAUUUUGGACAAAGCCAGAUUUUUCCAUUCCAUCGGCACGCUUUCAGAAGCCAAUUACCAGUAAAUCUUGAGAUUUGUCAAGGGAAAAAAUUCUAAGCAAACUGGAUCCGAAAAGCAGAGGUACUUCUUCUUGUCAUCUUUUUCAACUUCAGUGUUUCUCUCGACACCAUGUAUGUUUCGUUAGUAUCUUCAAUAGUUUGUCCAGCCAAGCGCAGCACAAGUAAGGUUGAGGAUUAGGUACCAACUUUUGAGGUAAUUGCAAUAUGAAUUACCAUAUCAUUAUUUCAAAUUAGUGGCAAUGUGGUGCAUGCUUUGUUCAGUCUUGACAGAACUUUUGUUUUUUGGUUUGAACUUGCUAUAAGCAUACUUCAUCUCGAAUAACUACACUUGGGCAGCUCAACUCCAAUCAUGAAACGGUUUCCUUGUACAAGGUAUUUCCAGCAUGAAUUAUCACUUCAAAUUAUUGGCAAUGCAGUGGAUACUUUGCGAAGUCGACAGCAUUUUUGUUUCUAGUUCAUUCAUGUGUUAGUGAUUCCUUGGUUACCUUUAUCAUUUGAGAUGUCGUCAAACUUUGGCUAAAUCUUGGAAGGCUUUCAAGAUAUCAGGUACCAAAAUCAAGUAUCUUUCAAAUUCCAAUUUGAGUAGAUGUGGUGUAUGCUCUGUUCACUUUUCACAGCAGUUUAAUGUGCCAGAUGGAAUUUACAUUAAUUGAACUUGGUCACCUUCAAGCUAAGGCCUGGUGUGAACAUCGUGGCGUAAGUCAUUACUUGCCAAUCUAUGGACAGUCGACAAGCUCUUUCUCAUUGGUGAAUGCAAAUUUUUUGGACAUUGUACUUGUCAGUUGUGGCAUUCAUUCCAAAAUUUUUUUUGUAUGUGAAAAUGUUGGAUAUUUUGUCAGGUUCCACAGUCUUCUGGUAAUUUUUCUGUCCCACUCCGAAAUAAGGUGGAUUGUGUGCCUGCAGUAUCGAAAGCAUCAAACAUUUCCUCUUGACAGUCAGCUGUUUGUAGUCUUUCUAAUCACAUUUGUUCAGAUAAACUCUGGUGAACUGGAUACCUAAAAUUCAGGUAUUGAAUCUUAUUUUUUGCCACUAUUAUGGUUUGAUUUCAACAUGCAUGUCAACACUAUGUGUGUUCCAUCAGUAUCUUGAGCAGUUUCUGCUGUGGCAAGCUCCACUUCAACUCGGAUAUACAAAGUAAGACAUAAUUUUAGUCUCAUUUGCCAUCACAUUCAGUUUGAAAUGGUUGUCUGGGAAACAGUGUAUACUUUGUAAGUCUCGGCAGCUUUGUGAACAACUCCUACAGGAUGAAGGUUAGUUUUCAGAUAUGUAUUUGUUUCUGGUCACAAAGGUUUUGUAUAUUUCUUUUUCAAGUGUAGUGAAGCAUUGGAUGAAGGAAAACAAUCUCGGUAAAACAUUUUCUGUUUUUCCAAUAUUAAAGUAAAUUUGAACUCCUAUAGUUCUUUUUCUAAAAAGUCAAUUUUUGUAGUUGUGCAAACAGUGUAUACUUCAUUCUGAUCUUAACAGCGUUAAAGUUUAGUGGAUUUGCAUCUGCUUCAGGUUGCGUUUUUGACCUUCUUUUGUAAUCUCAGUGAAUUAGUUUCUUUGCUGUCAUUAUUGUGUACUGUUAUUGAUAAAUAUUAACUACAUAAUGUACAUUAAGGGAACAUCAAACUGUAGUUGGUUAUACUUUCAUGAUAACAGUUAUUAAAGAAAUUUGUCGUGCUAGUUCUCAUAAUUUAAAGAAAUUUAGUUUGCAGUACUUUUAUUUUAAACUGAUUAUGGAUCAUGUAUGCAGCAGUGUCUAUGCGUGGGCUAAGCCUAAUUUAGCAAUUAGAUUAAAUAUGUUGAAGUAGCAGUGAGGUCAGGAUAGGCCAGGGUUUAGGUUGCAGAUGUACCAGCAGACAUCACAGUGUGGAAGAUGAGGAGGAUCUGCUUGAAAGCAGGAAGGUGUAAACUGUAAGGAUGCUGUGAAAUGAAUUACACUCAAGGCUUGGAUUAGCACAUGUUUGAGAGUUAUUUUUCAAGUGAAAACAAAGUGGAGAUUCAUCUGAAAUUAUAUUCAAUUUGAAAUGUGUAAAUUUUUUGAGAUAAGUCUUUCAUGGCAUGCCUGGGUGUCAGCUGCCUGCACUGGGCCAGGACUAUGUUUCCAGACUGUUUUUAUCCCACAAGGGUUUUUUUAAGUCUGGUUUUACGCAGCCGGCAGGCAGCACAUAAAACAGAUCUACCUGACAAAUCAGUUUGAUUUCAUUUUGACUGAUAUAUCUUUGGAUCAUGCAUGGUUAAUUAACAGAGUUUUUGGUGUUUAGUAACUUGGUAUUAAUUGAAAAUAAACUACGUUUGGAUGAUA